AGUAAUGUAUGGGGAUCUGCCCGAUAGAGGGGGAUAACUACUGGGAACGGUGGCUAAUACCGCAUAAUGUCUACGGACCAAAGUAGGGGCUCUUCGGACCUUGCACUAUCGGAUGAACCCAUAUGGGAUUAGCUAGUAGGUGGGGUAAAGGCUCACCUAGGCGACGAUCUCUAGCUGGUCUGAGAGGAUGAUCAGCCACACUGGGACUGAGACACGGCCCAG
Molecule: ribosomal RNA, 222 nt
Filed under: uncultured bacterium
Lineage: Bacteria
Description: partial 16S ribosomal RNA
Rfam family: Bacterial small subunit ribosomal RNA
Source: RNAcentral